CUUGAACUCAGGAGGCGGAGGUUGCAGUGAGCCAAGAUUGCACCACUGCACUCCAGCCUGAGCAACAAGAGCAAGACUCCGUCUCAAAAAAUAAAAUAAAAUAAAAGUAAGGCCUGGCUAGCAUGCCAUUGCAGUAGUUCAGGUGAGAGAUGAGGGGACUCAGCCCAGCAAGGGCAGAGCAGAUGGAGCGGCUGUGGAGAAUGCAGGAAGGAGAGGAAUCCGGGACGCCCCUCAGUGCCUGCUGCUGCUGACAUGGAGAAGACUCGGAUCAAGAGUCAGGCGCAAGGUGGCUUUCAACAUCCAAGUGGAGAAGAUUUGAGGAAAUUGAAGUGCACUGCCUGGCACCCACUUUACUUCUGAAACAAUACAUGUGGUAACAGUAUUAAGUGCUCACUAUUUUGCAAACAUUGUUCAAGAACCCUAGGAAAGACAGUACAGAAUAAAUAGAAAGCAAAGUCUUUUUGUCCAAGAACUUAAAGCCCGUCAGUGUUGGGAACAUGCGAUUUGUGUGUGCAAUGGUGCAGGAGUCUGGUCGUGUCCAUCUCUGGGGUGCAGAGCUGCCUCUGAAGACUUGGCAAGACCUACCCAACAGUCGUUCACUGAGCAGAGACUGAGGAGCCUCCUGGGAUUGGGCUCAUCCUCAGGAAAAGCGGAGCCAGUCCCAAGCUUGAACCAGUGACAAGUCCUUGGAUGUCGGAG
Molecule: long non-coding RNA, 699 nt
Filed under: Homo sapiens (human)
Lineage: Eukaryota; Metazoa; Chordata; Mammalia; Primates; Hominidae
Description: PREDICTED lncRNA (TCONS_00107368)
Source: RNAcentral